AUUGAACGCUGGCGGCAUGCCUUACACAUGCAAGUCGAACGGUAACGGGCCUUCGGGUGCCGACGAGUGGCGAACGGGUGAGUAACAUAUCGGAACGUACCUUUCAGUGGGGGAUAACGUAGCGAAAGUUACGCUAAUACCGCAUAUUCUGUGCGCAGGAAAGCAGGGGGCCUUCGGGCCUGGCGCUGAUUGAGCGGCCGAUAUCAGAUUAGCUAGUUGGUGAGGUAAAGGCUCACCAAGGCGACGAUCUGUAGCGGGUCUGAGAGGAUGAUCCGCCACACUGGAACUGAGACACGGUCAAGACUCCUACGGGAGGCAGCAGUGGGGAAUUUUGGACAAUGGGGGCAACCCGGAUCCAGCCAUGCCGCGUGAGUGAAGAAGGCCUUCGGGUUGUAAAGCUCUUUCGGCCGGGAAGAAAUCGUAUGGGCUAAUACCCUGUGCGGAUGACGGUACCGGCAUAAGAAGCACCGGCUAACUACGUGCCAGCCGCCGCGGUAA
Molecule: ribosomal RNA, 498 nt
Filed under: uncultured bacterium
Lineage: Bacteria
Description: partial 16S ribosomal RNA
Rfam family: Bacterial small subunit ribosomal RNA
Source: RNAcentral